GAAAUAGACCAACGGACCAAUGAAAAUACAGAUCACUUGUCUCUUCUCAUCCUGUCUUGUGCUUCAGUUUUUUUGGUUGGCCUGUUUUUUAUUUUAGUUUUGUUUGGUUUCUUU
RNAcentral lists this non-coding RNA (114 nucleotides) under Heterosigma akashiwo. The record is from RNAcentral. Lineage: Eukaryota; Raphidophyceae; Chattonellales; Chattonellaceae.